RNAcentral lists this long non-coding RNA (967 nucleotides) under Equus caballus (horse). RNAcentral's name for it is "lncRNA (ENSECAG00000056215.1)". The record is from RNAcentral. Lineage: Eukaryota; Metazoa; Chordata; Mammalia; Perissodactyla; Equidae.
AGCUGCUCUUCCCCUGGCCUGGCAGCCAGGACCCGGCCAGACAAUGCAUCACAACAGAGCCUGUUGCCAGGGCGACCUCCAGACCUGGUGGCCUGGGACCUGGGGCUCCCGCCACCCCACGCUGGCUGCUGGCAUGAGCACUUACGAUGCAGCACUGUCUCUGGCUCGUGGCUGUGUGGAGAAUAAGGCAGGAGGAGACCCUGUCUGGGCCUGGGGUCUGCUCAUCCUCGGGGAAAGAAGAGAGGAAGUAGAGUCCUGGGCUGCUCUCUCUCUCCCUGGGUCCUGGCCUCCUGGUUUCUCCAGCAGGAACCGCACAUGGCCACCUUAUCCCAGGAACCAGGGUCCCAGGCAGCAGCACGGGCACCUGCUGAGCUCCCCACCCCCAACCCAUCCAUCACUGCAGGAUGCGCUUCCGCCUUCUCCAAAACCUCUGGCAUUCACCUCUCCCUACUAUUCUCGGCCCCCAGCCCCAGGCCCAGCUCAGCCGGCCCCCAGAGCCGGUCUGGAUGACAGCCCAGCCUCCCUUCUAGACUCCAGGCCUCCAGUGUCCAAAGUGAACUCGAACGGAUCCCGCCCCUCCCUCCAGAAUCCCUCUCCACUUUCCCCAUCACUCUCAGCCACAGAGGACUCUCACCCUCCCUUCAGUAAAAGCAAAGGAUCUGUUCUGAGAGAUGCGUCUGAGGCCAUGUGGUCGUCGUGCGAACAUCACAGCGUGUACAGCCCGCUACAGCCUCAGGCCCUACAGUACUAAUCUUAUGGGACCACCGUCAUUGUAUGCUGUGCGCCAUUGACUGCAAUGUUGUUAUGCGGCGCAUGACUAUAAAAAAUAUACCAAAAAUAGAAACCGAAAAUAAAAAAUGAAAGAGUAAACAUUAUUUUUAAAGUUUUGUUUGCAUGUUAUUUAGUGGUCUAAAAAAAGCUUCUCGGUCUGACUAAAUAUAUUAUUACUAAAAAUUGUGAUUAAGUG